UGAGGAAUAUUGGACAAUGGGCGAAAGCCUGAUCCAGCCAUGCCGCGUGUGUGAAGAAGGUCUUCGGAUUGUAAAGCACUUUAAGUUGGGAGGAAGGGUUGUAGAUUAAUACUCUGCAAUUUUGACGUUACCGACAGAAUAAGCACCGGCUAACUCUGUGCCAGCAGCCGCGGUAAUACAGAGGGUGCAAGCGUUAAUCGGAAUUACUGGGCGUAAAGCGCGCGUAGGUGGUUUGUUAAGUUGGAUGUGAAAUCCCCAGGCUCAACCUGGGAACUGCAUCCAAAACUGGCAAGCUAGAGUAUGGUAGAGGGUGGUGGAAUUUCCUGUGUAGCGGUGAAAUGCGUAGAUAUAGGAAGGAACACCAGUGGCGAAGGCGACACCUGGACUGAUACUGACACUGAGGUGCGAAAGCGUGGGGAGCAAACAGGAUUAGAUACCCAGGUAGUCCCUGAGCGGGCUGGCAAGGCGCAU
This 471-nucleotide ribosomal RNA is filed under the name uncultured bacterium. RNAcentral describes it as "bacterial SSU rRNA". It matches the Rfam family "Bacterial small subunit ribosomal RNA", at positions 355 to 825 of the family's 1533-position model. The record is from RNAcentral.